UAGCCUAGUGGUUAAGACUCUGGAUUUCCAAUCCGGAGACGACGGGUUCGAUUCCCGU
Aedes albopictus (Asian tiger mosquito) is the source of this 58-nucleotide non-coding RNA. NCBI's taxonomy places the organism in Eukaryota, Metazoa, Arthropoda, Insecta, Diptera, Culicidae. The record is from Rfam.